GAGAGUAGAACAUUACGUUGGCAAAUGUAAUAGUCGGUAAGUUGGAGAAUAGAAAUGUAGCUUGUCAGUGAGUACCAGGAACUCCUAUGCUUUCUGAAUAUAGCUACCAAAUACUUCUAGGGCAAUGGAUAUGUCAGAAACUGAAGCAAGAAUGUACUUGUCAGAGGGCGGAGUCAAGAUGGCAUAUUAGGAGGAUGAGGAAUUCGUGUCUCCUCACAACUAGGGCACCUACCAGGCACCGGUGGGGUACCACGGACACCUAAAGGGACAGGAGGAAACCUCAGUGACCGGAUGAAGGAGCAAGGUAAUGCCUACAAGACCAAAUAAAUGAAGAUGAAAUAGGCAACCUACCUGAAAAAGAAUUCAGAAUAAUGACAGUAAAGGUAAUCCAAAAUCUUGGGAACAGAAUGGAGAAAAUAAAAGAAACAUUUAACAAGGAUCUAGAACUGAAGAGCAACAGACAGUAAUGAACAAAACAACAACUGAAAUUAAAAAUAUUCUAGAAGGAAUCAGUAGCAGAAAAAACAGAGGCAGAAGAAUGGGUAAGUGAGCUGGAAGAUAAAAUGGUGGAAAUAACUGCCAGGGAGCAGAAUAGAGAAAAAAGAAUGGAAAUAAUUGAGGACAGUCUCAGAGACCUCUGAGAUGACAUUAAACACACCAUAAUUCUAAUUAUAGGGUUUCCAGGAGAAGUAGAGAAAAAGAAAGUGUCUGAGAAAAUAUUUGAAGAGAUUAUAGUUGUAAACUUCCUUAACAUGGGAAAGGAAAUACUCAGUGAAGUCCAGGAAGUGCAGAGAGUCCCAUACAGGAUAAACCCAAAGAGAAACAUGCCGAGACACAUAUAAUCUAACUAUCAAAAAUUAACAGAAAAUAUAUUAAAAGUAGCAAGGGAAAAGCAACAAAUAACAUACAAGGGAAACCCCAUAAGAUUAACAGCUGAUUUUUCAGCAGAAACUCUGCAAGCCAGAAGGGAGUGGCAGGACAUAUUGAAAGUGAUGAAAGGGAAAAACCUAAAACCAAGAUUACUCUACCCAGCAAGGAUCUCAUUCAGAUUUGAUGGAGAAAUCAAAACCUUUACAGACAAUCAAAAGUUAAGAGAAUUCAGCACCACCAAACCAGCUCUACAACAAAUGCUAAAGGACCUUCUCUAGGCAGGAAACAAAAGAGAAGGAAAAGACCUACAGAAGCAAACCCAAAACAAUUCAGAAAAUGGUAAUAGCAACAUAGAUAUCGAUAAUUAUGUUAAGUGUAAAUGGAUUAAAUGCUCCAACCAAAAGACAUAGAUUGGCUGAAUGGAUACAAAAACAAGACCCAUAUAUAUGCUGUCUACAAGAGACCCACUUCAGACCUAGGGACACAUACAGACUGAAAGUGGGGGGA
Non-coding RNA from Kogia breviceps (pygmy sperm whale), 1377 nucleotides. The record is from RefSeq and is a predicted model, not a curated record. NCBI's taxonomy places the organism in Eukaryota, Metazoa, Chordata, Mammalia, Artiodactyla, Physeteridae.